RNAcentral lists this ribosomal RNA (465 nucleotides) under uncultured bacterium. RNAcentral's name for it is "partial 16S ribosomal RNA". It matches the Rfam family "Bacterial small subunit ribosomal RNA", at positions 28 to 507 of the family's 1533-position model. The record is from RNAcentral.
GACGAACGCUGGCGGCGUGCUUAACACAUGCAAGUCGUACGGUAAGGCCCUUUCGGGGGUACACGAGUGGCGAACGGGUGAGUAACACGUGAGUAACCUGCCCACAACUUUGGGAUAACGCUAGGAAACUGGUGCUAAUACUGGAUAUGUGCUCCUGCUGCAUGGUGGGGGUUGGAAAGCUCCGGCGGAUGUGGAUGGACUCGCGGCCUAUCAGCUUGUUGGUGGGGUAGUGGCCUACCAAGGCGGCGACGGGUAGCCGGCCUGAGAGGGUGACCGGCCACAUUGGGACUGAGAUACGGCCCAGACUCCUACGGGAGGCAGCAGUGGGGAAUAUUGCACAAUGGGCGCAAGCCUGAUGCAGCAACGCCGCGUGCGGGAUGACGGCCUUCGGGUUGUAAACCGCUUUCAGCAGGGACGAAGCUUUUUGUGACGGUACCUGCAGAAGAAGCACCGGCUAACUACGUG